RNAcentral lists this long non-coding RNA (11037 nucleotides) under Medicago truncatula (barrel medic). Its description in RNAcentral is "long non-coding RNA (MTRU_LNC003000)". The record is from RNAcentral. Lineage: Eukaryota; Viridiplantae; Streptophyta; Magnoliopsida; Fabales; Fabaceae.
CCAUUUUUAAAAUCCAAUAUAAAGUUUCACCACUACUUAAAACAAUGUUGGUAUAGAAAUUUGCAUAAGGGAUGAACACACAUGCUUUGUGUUUGCUAAAAUGGAGUUUCUCCCCAACUUUGGACGUUCAUACAGGUGAAACUUUUUCUUGUUUUGCAAUGGGUUCUAGAUUUGCAUCUUGCAAAUGUAGAUUUUAAGCUAGACUAUAAGAAUAUGGUGUUCAAUUAUCACAGCAAGGGAGGGGACUAUUCCGAUUUAGGAGUUAUCCUUUAAGAUUGACGUAGAAUUCAUUGUUCACAUUUUAUUACAAACUCUAAGAUUGAGUUUACUAGAAAACAAGUGAAAGAGGUUGUCCAAACUUUAACUAAGGCGAACACAUCUCUAACUAGUUUUCCCUUACACACUAAUGUUGGACCGUUGGUGUAUUCACACAAAAAAUUACUUGUUGGACCGAUAGUAACUUGAUUUUUAUUCCACAUUUUUCUCUUGUUGGACCAAUAUUCUUUGUUAUGAGUAGUAAAAAUAAAAAAAAAUAAAAAUAUUUCGUCGACUUUUGUGGUAAAUAAGAUUUAAUUAUUAUAAUUGUCAAUGAUAAAAAAUAAUUCUUUUCUUCAAAAAAUAACUUAUUUGAUUAUUAAUUUAACAAUUUGGUGUAUCAAUACACUCAAAUUUUUGUGUGUAUCUUAUCAAGCCUGACAAAGUCGGGGAUAUAUACUAUCUCAACAAGUGAAACCAAUGGUAAAUCUAUGUUCAUUGCAUUGGGGCUUAUAUCCCGCUUAAUCAUCAGGUUGUUGUAAAUUAAGCAUUGAAUAAUUUUAAUUUAGUUCCAUUAAACAUUAAAUAACGUCCCCAUAUAAAAUUUAUUAAUAUUUUAUUAAUAAUUUUGUUUGGUCAUACACAAAGAUGUUUUUUUUUAUUUUUUAAGCAAAAUGGGUGCAGAUAGAGAACCGCUGCAGCAUCUAGAUACAUAUAUAAAAAGGAAACGAGUACAAAAGAAGAAAGGGGACCACAACCAAAACCCUCUCAAGCGGAAAAAAAAUAAAAAAAACCUAAAAGAAAACAAGAAAAUAAAAAGAACAUAAGCCAAAAGGAAACUGAAAAGAGCAAGAACAAACAAGUCAAUCCGGUAACCUACCAUUAGAGCAUGUAUUGUGAAUCUGAAAACCCUUCUUCAAAUUCUUUUCCCGGUCUUUGAAACCACUUCAGUGAAGGGCUCCUCUGUAGUAGCAGCACGAUUCCUCGGAUAAUUGAUAGCAGCCGCUCUCUCUUCCUCAUCGGUAUACACCCGAGGGCCAAUGUAUGUAGCUUCGUUUCCCUUCCAAACAUAUUGCCUCAAAAUCUCCAAGUCGUGAGCGACGCUGGGAUUUAAAUUGUCAUUAGUGACAAUUUCAUUCGAUUUUGUCGCUGAAUCACUCAAAUUUGUCACUUCAUCACUCCAUGAACCAACGAAGCGCAUAUCAGGAUAAUGCUCCCUUUGUUGUUCAUUGUUAGUUGAAUCAGACGAGUUGGAUCCAAAGGUAUCAUGAAUAGCCUUUUUACAAUGCUCUUCAGUAGAAACACUCAAAUUCUCAUUACCGUUGGCACCCAUGUCAUCUGGAUGCAAGGUAUCAAUACUCACUACUUCUCCAUCAACCGUGGCUUUCAGUUUAGUACUAUCCACAAAUCCUAAAAGAUGAUUAUUAUCAACACAUGUUUCAGUUGCAUUUGCUACACAUUCAACCGUUUCCUUUACCAAAUAUUUCUUAUGAAUAAGAAUAGAUUUAUUUCCCAAACGCUUAUGUUUCUCAUUUGUGUCCAAUUUCUCUUGAUCCAAUUUUACAAGUUUGCAAGACGAAAAAAGUGCCCAAUGUUACUACAGUGCGAACAAAAAGAUGUGUUUGAUUUUGUUGGCAUGAAGAAAAAAAUACAAUAAUUUUUAAAUAGAAAGACACAGAGAUAUAAUCGUCUUAGAUCUUAGUGUCGCGAGCUUGUUUUGCAACAAUACUAAAACGACCAACUAUCAUACAUUAAUGAUUAAACAUUGCAACACAUCAAAACCACCGUUAAUUACAAUGUAAAUUUUUGUAUGUAUGUAUGUAUUGAUAUUGUCCUUUAUAUGAGAACUAGUGUUUACACCAUUCUAUCAUCUUAUUAUCCUAAUGCAUAUAAAUUAUAAACAGUAAUUUUUAUGAAAUUUUAAAUAAAAUUAUGGCAUAUCAAGAGAGAGGAGUAGUUAUAAUGAGAGGAUGAAAGGUGGUGGAGGUUGUAGUGCAUGACCCUUUUUAAAGAGCAAUUAAAUCUGAAGCGUUGAUUUUGUUCCAAUGGUCCAAAUUAAUUCCUGUCAUCCUCUCAUUGUAACUACUCCUCUCACUUGAUAUGUCAUAUAUAUAUAUAUAUAUAUAGGGCAUUUUAAAUGAGAGGACUUUUUAAAUGAGAGGGUGAGAGGAUUAAAUCACAACCAUUAGAUGAAAUCCAGUGGCUGAUAUUUAUUUGAAGCAACUCAAAUGUUCCGUAUGCACCUUUCUUCCUUUCGCCUUCCUUUCUUCUCUCUCAGUUACGUUUUCAAUUUUUUUCUUUCUUCUUUCCAAAUUGAUUUCUCCUAUUCCAACACAAAGCCAUUUUUGCUGCAUCAACUCUAUUCCUCUUUUUAUUUUUGUCUUUCUAAAAAGUCCUUGGCUUUUGAAUCACACCACUUCUCCAAAAAUUAAAAUUGGGAUAAACUAUCAAAUUGGUGAAUCUUACCGAAAACCCAUUCAUUUUUGGUGAAUAAUUGAAGAAGAAAAAAAUGGGUCUUCAGUUGAGAAAGCAAACUAUGAAUGGGUUUCGACUUGUGGUGUAGAUUUGAUUAAAAAAAAACCAUUGUUAUUGAUAUGGAGUUGAAGAAAUAAGGGGUAAAGAUGAAGAGCCCUUUGAAAAAUUAAGUAUUUGAAAGUUGCAAUUUGAAAAUUAGAUAAUUAGUCAUAAUCAAUUUCAUUUGUCAUGGAUUCCAGAAAUUUAAAUUACAAGUGUCUUAUGAUGAUGCAUGUUAAAAAUUGGAACGGCGUGGAGAAUAUGUCAGGAAGGGAGAUGAAGAUUGAGGGAUACAGUGUGACUAAGUCUGUAGUGACUAACUAAAUGCCAACCGUUGAUAUAGAUCAGAUGGUUAUUAAUUAUUCCUCUCACUCUCUCACAAUAAAUACUCCUCUCACUUGAUAUGUUCUCUAUAUAUAAUUUAACAGUGAUAUAUAUGCAAAAAAUGAUUUAACAAGUGAUGUGAAGUAACUUGAGUGUCAGUUACUUCACGUCAUUAUUUUAAUUUGAGUCAUAUCAUAAACUUAUGGAAAAAAAAGUGAUUUAACGUAAUAUAAGAAAAGAGACGCAAGUUACUCAUAAUCAAUUCGGUUGUUUUUAUGACUGUGAGGUCGACAAUGAAAGUAGAUGGAUUAAAAAGACUUGAACUUAGUUUUCAUUGAUUUUGAUAAGGCAUAUAAUAGUGUCUGGAGAGCUUUUGUGGAAAUGCAUAGAGAAGAAAGAAGUUAGUAUUGCCUAUAUUCGAGCUGUCGAGAUUAUAUAUGAGGGAGUAUAGACUAGUGUGAGGACACUUGAUGGAGACACUAACGAUUUUCCCAUAACAAUAAAGUUCCACAAAGUUUCAACCCUAGGCCCUCAUUUUUUUACACGACUUUUGGAUAUACUUAUGAAACACAUGCAAGAGCUAGCACCGAGAUGUAUGUUUUUCUUGUAGAUGAUAUAGUUCUACUUGAAAAGUUGAGGGAGAAAUUAAAUGUGAGGUUAGAGACAAGCCAUAGAAACGAAUAAAUUUUUCCUAAGCAGAAGUAAAACUGAGUAUAUGGAAUAUAACUUUAGCAAAAGGUGAAGAAUUUCCAACUUAAAGGCGAAAGUUAGAGAUCAUAUCAUACCAUAAACUACACACGUUUAAAUAACUUGGCUCUAUAGUACAAAACGACAGAGAAAUAGAAGUAGAUGUGAACCAUCAAAUACCAACUGGAUGGGGGAAAUGGAGGAGGACCCUCAAGUGUUUAUGUGAUUAGAAAGUACCACUUAAGUUGGAGGUGAGUCCUAUUGAGCAAUUGUAAGACUGAAGAUGUUGUUGAGACGAAGCAUUAGGAUGUCAAAAACCAAGAAAAUAAAUUAAGCAUAGCAAAGAUGAUUGAGAUAUUGUGUUGGAUGUGUCGUAAGAGAAGAUGAUAUAUGAUUAGAAAUGACAACAUUAAAGAAAGAGUUGGGAUAUACCUUAUAGUAUUAAAGAUCAUGGAAACUAGACUUAGGUGGUUUAGAUGUGUAGAGAAAAAAAUGUGUAAAUUAUAUAGUAAGAAUAUUUGAUAAAAUGGAGGGCAAUCAACUCAAUAGAGACAGAAAAAGACCUAGAAAAAUGUCAUUUGAUCAUUAUAACGUCAUUUAAUCCAUGUGAUCGACCAAACUGAUUCUCAUAACUCUAAUUCUUUUGAAUUGAAAAAAUUUACUAUUUGAAUUUUCUAUCGUAAUUUCGUUUUAACACUAGAAUAAACACUUUGUUUCGUAGUAACUAAUUCAAUUAAAUAUUUAAAGGGAUUAUACUUUUACAAUGCAAUGAACCAAAUUUCAAAUUUUAGCUGGGAGAAGUACCUACAAUUAUUAUUUGUCAAAAAAAGUACCUAUGAUUAGUAAAAUUUCCUCCCAUUAAGGGAAAUUGUGGAAAAUUAAAAAGAAAGAUACAAAAUCAGAAAAUAUAAUAAGGAAUUUGUUUUCCUUCCAAAAAAAUAGAUAAGGAAUCUGUUUUAAAUAUUUUUGUACAGUCUGUCAUUUUUCUUAUUUAAUUUUACCGAAACUCUCCAUCUAUUUUUUCUUUUAAAAUUAGUCUACUAAUAAGGGUUUUGUUACAAAGAUUAUAAUUUUUUUUUGUUGUGUCCGGGGAAUCCCGGACCUUACAUAUAUUAUGCAUUGUUACCAACUGAGUCAAACUCACGAGAGCGCAAAAAUUAUAAUUUAAUGCAAUAAUAUGUUUAUAUAGCGUUGAAUCCUUUAAAAAAAAUAUUUACCAUUGCGAUAAAUUUGAGGUACUCGUAAUUCCGUUAUUCAUUCGUAAUUUCUUUUGUAGAAAGGUUAUUUAUUGGUAAAAUUGAUUUUUUUUUAUUUUUUUAUUUUUUUGGAGAGAUUUGUCACCCAUUGCAAUUUUAUUUAAUUUACAAUAUUAGUCUAGUUGCUCGCAGUUGAUAUUUAAUUUAGACAAAAAAAAUUAUUUUUUGGUAAAAAGAAAUGUUCACAUUUGUAGGUUCAAUGAACAAUCCCUAAAAAAAAGGUUCAAUGAACAACUUUUUUUCAAAUAUAAAUCCAUUUGAAAAAAAAUAGUAUUUGAAAAUAUAAAUAUAUUAAUUAAUUUUUACCAAAAAUACCCGUAAUUAAUUUUAUUAUAGUCAAACUAUUAAUUAAAGGAUAAUUAUAAAAUAUCAAUAGUCAAAAUGGUUGAAUUUAAAUGUUGUUUAAUUUUUUUUUUAAUAUUUUUUUAAAACUCGAUAUCCGACCUACGAACCGACUAAUCUUAGUGGCCGAAUCUCAUUAUCUACUUGUAGAGAUUGAUUUAAAGUCAACAAAAAACUCUAAAUAAAAUAACUCGGAGAAAUUGAUACUAAAUAAAAUUAAAUCUAAUAUCUUGAGAGAAACACAACUAAUGUUCCAAACCAACCUCACUAAACAUACUCAAGUCGGUCAAAAUAUUUCAGCGCAUUAAAUAGAAAUCUAUAAUUAAUAAGAUGUAUUUUUGAGCUUGUAAUUAAAAUCUAUAAUAAUUAAAAUCUAACAAUAACAUUCGAGCAAAUGAGUUGUACUUAAAAACAAAUUCAUCAAGAGUGAUUCAGAGGAACAUAAAGACUACUAUAAUUUUUCUUAGAGACAGAAGGGAAAAACACCUUAGAGCCGCAGGUAAUGUAACCUUUCAUUACUUCUUGGUUAUGAUAAAAAAAAUUUGUACUAAGAAAUUGUCAAGUUUUUUUGCAUGUAUCCUUUGUCCUAAUAUUGUCAAAUUUAAGAUAGUUAACAUUGAUUGAGUCCAUUAUAUACUGACACUGUAUUUUGUCCAAAAGAAUGUCAAAGGUGGAAGCAUCAGAAGCAUUAGUGGAAGCAAAAGUUCCAUUGUUGAAAAAUAAUAUUGAUGAACAUGAAAAUGAGGUUUUGGGAAGAAGGGUUUGGAAUGAGUCCAAGAAGCUCUGGCACAUAGCAGGUCCUGCAAUCUUCAACCGUGUUUCAAACUAUAGCAUGUUAGUCAUCACUCAAGUCUUUGCUGGCCACCUAGGUGACAUGGAGUUGGCUGCUACUUCCAUUGCUAUGAAUCUCAUUCUAGGCCUCGACUUGGGUAUCAUGGUAAAGUUCAUGUUUUAAUUUUGGUUUUAAUUUGCAAGAGAAAUAGAUGAAUCUCAACAUUUUCUUUUGUGUUAUGUGAUUGUUGUUAGAGAAUAGUUUGAGUAUAUGUGAUUAGAUGAGUGUUUGACAAUAUAAUUAAUUUUGAAUGAAAUUGGUGUUAAAAAACUGAUUUACUUAAAAUUGAGUUUGACAUAUUUAUAUUUGGCGUUUUGGUAUUGAGAUGUGCCUAAUAACAUACGUGGAAUUUAAAAUCAAAUACUAAACAAAUUAAUGUGAGCUUUUUAUGAUGUUAAGGAUGAGAUGUGUUAUGUCAAAAAAAAAAAAAAAGAGAGAGACUGAGAUCUGCUAGUACUCUGACAUAUUAUGUUGUUAAUUGUCAUUAUUUAAAUCUUGAUAGCAAUCGCUCUUGAUCAUUGAUUCGUCUCUGCUUGAGACCUAAAAUCAAUGGAUUUGUUUUUAUCUUAGGCUGGUCCUGUUUGUAUUUCAAAUACAUAUAUAAACAACUUUGAUGCAAAAUUUAUUAAAAAAUUAACCUUUUUUUCGUGACAUGAAAAAAAAAAAAAAAAAAAACAGAAAGAAACAACUAUCUCCUAAUAAAGGACACUCAUGCAACAUCGGUUAAUAAUGGGUGCGUUUGUUUUAAUUUAAGAAAAAUCUAGAUUUUUUUUAGAGAUUUUAAUUUUUUUUUGAAGCUAUUUGUGUUUGUUUACUUUCAAAAAAUCACUUUUCUUUUAAAAAGAAUAAUUUUAGCUAGUUCAUGUGUUACCUCCUUGUUUUUGAAAAAAUAGAUUUUGAAAAACCUAAUCCUAAUAGUAAUUCAUGUUAAUAAAGCUUAAAUCUCUGCAUCUAAAAUAUUGGAUAAGCCCACACUACCAUAAAAAUCAACUGAUGUUUACCACAAGAGUUGCACACAAGACCACCAUACUUAUAGUCAACCCAAAAUUUAAAGACAAAAUCAUCAGCCAAUGAUAACCAAAUAAAAGAUAUAGGUUGGAAGAUGUCAACCACUCGAAUAGAACUCAACUAUCUCAAUAAAUUAGCUUAUACUUUUACACGUGUAAAUAUCUUGGUUUGACAAAAAGAAAACAAUUAUUUAAUACAAAAUUUGUUGAUGUUGUUUAUUAUCAUCUUAUAGGUACGAAGUAUCAUCAGUCGUUUAGCAUUAAGAUGAUAAAGAUUUUUAAUAAGUAGAUUUUAAUAUUGUUCUUUAAUUAUAAAAAAAUAGAAUAUUAUUAAGAGAUUGUUACUUUGAUUUGAAAAUUAAUUUUGUACAUGUCAUGUCAUGUCAUCCAUUUACUUUCAUGUAUUUCUUCUAUUGGUAAUGAUUUUGAUAAUAAUAUUUUGCUUGGUAGUUGGUACUAAACAAGUAAAUAACAUUCUGUUUUUGCAUCAGUUGGGUAUGUCAAGCGCUUUGGAAACUCUAUGUGGACAAGCAUUUGGAGCCAAACAAUUCAACAUGUUAGGAAUUUACAUGCAACGUUCAUGGAUCGUUCUUUUCAUCACAGGAAUUCUCCUUUUACCUCUUUUCAUCUUUGCAACACCAAUCUUAAACUUUUUUGGACAACCACAAGAGAUAUCUGAGCUAGCUGGAGUGAUUUCAAUGUGGCUAAUACCAACUCACGUGACUUAUGCAUUCUUUUUUCCUCUUUAUUUCUUCUUGCAAAGUCAGCUCAAGAAUAACAUCAUUGGUUGGGUUUCUCUUGUUGCUUUAUUGGUUCAUGUUUUUCUUUGUUGGUUGGUUGUUGUGAAGUUUAAGCUUGGUGUUAUUGCUCUUGUUGCUUCUGGGAAUGUGGCUUGGAUUGUUUUGGUGUUUGGUUUUUUUGGGUAUGCUGUUUUGUGUGGUUGUCCCUUAACUUGGACUGGUUUUUCUAUGGAGGCUUUCUUUGAUCUUUGGGAGUUUGCUAAACUCUCUGCUGCUUCUGGGGUUAUGCUCUGGUACAUUUUAUUUUCAUAAGCAAUUUCUCACUUCUUAAUUGUCAUUGCAUUGUGUUUACGAAGAUAAAAUAAUAUCGGUGUCAUCGUUCAAAAUGCGUCUACUGACAUAUUUUUCCGAACCCUACUAUUAAAUUAAGGAUUCAUACAUUUUUUUUUUUUUUUUAUCUUAACCCUUUUAUGAUCAUAAUCAUCUAGAAUUCGAUCGGGAGAUUGGUAAAAUCUGACUAAUAACUAUUUUAGCUAGAGUUUGAAUUUGUGUACUCCCGAUCAAUUUGACCAUCGUUGAAGCUCAUUUAAUUAUUGAGCCCAACCAUUUAGUUUAAGGGUCUCAAGUAUAGUUUCAUGUUUUUGCAACUUUACAUAAUUUGAUUAAAUUAUUAUAUGGUCUCCUUUUCAAUUGUAUUUUCAUCAUGAGUUGUUGGAAAUUCUUACAGCUUGGAGGUUUGGUAUGACAAAGUACUCAUGUUGAUGACUGGAAAUCUACAUAAUGCAAAGAAAUUUGUAGAGGCUUUAACCAUAUGGUAAGCAAGUGAGAAUAUCUUAUGGUGCAUAUGAAUAUUAUUCUGGUUCUAAUUUUCUAUUGGUUUUUUGAGUAAUUUUCUAUUAUUUUUAUUGUUGCUUUGUUUGAUGUGGCAGCUUGACCCUAAAUAUAUGGGAGUUGAUGUUUCCUCUGGGAUUCCUUGCUGCAACUGGGUAAUUAUGCAUCUUAACUUUCCCCUUUUGCUACUAUUUUUGUGCAUUUACAACAACAAAAAAUUGAAGUCAUAAUAUCAUGCUUCAUAUGUCUUAAACUACUUGAAUCAAGACAAAACCAUGACCAAACCACCAAAAUAAUCGAACUCUAGUAAAAAAAUCGGUUAAGGUUCAGCCGAUUGAACUGUUUUAUUCGACUUACUUUUUAAAAUGUUGUCUAUCGUCUAUACUACUAUUUACAUUGGUUUUUCACAUGUUUGUAAAAAUCAGUUAAGGUUGAACCGAUUGAACUGUUUUAUUCGACUCAAUUUUUAAAACAUUGUCUAUCGUCUAUAUUAUUAUUUACAUUGUGCAGAGUAAGGGUAGCAAACGAGCUAGGAGCAGGAAAUGGUCAAGCAGCAAAGUUUGCUUCAGCAGUGGCAGUGGUGACAUCAAUUAUAAUAAGUGUUUUCUUCUGGCUCUUGAUUAUGAUAUUUCGUAGACAAAUUGGCUAUUUAUUUACUUCAAGUGAACUUGUCAUUGAAGAAGUAAAUAAGUUGUCACCCCUCUUAGGCUUCACCAUUCUUCUCAAUAGUGUUCAACCUGUUCUCUCAGGUACUAUAUAAUCCAACUUCUUGUACCAUCCAUUUUACAUUUAUUUGAUUUUAGCAAUGAGUGUUUGACUAAAAUAUUGCAUCUUUCAAUUAAUAUAUCAAACAGGGGUGGCUAUUGGAUCUGGGUGGCAAAAAUAUGUGGCCUACAUUGACUUGGGUUGCUACUAUCUUAUUGGGAUGCCACUUGGGUUUUUGAUGGGUUUUGUUUUUCAAUUUGGAGUUGAGGUAAGUUGUGUACAUUUCUUCUUGGAGUUUUAAUUUUUGAAAAGUACUCUUUUCAUUUAUGAAAUUGCUCGGCAUUUUCAGCCGCAGUUAGCUGUUGUUGGACACUUUUAAGAUCGGUCAAACCAACUUAAAAAGUGAUUGAACCGAUCUUAAAAAUGUUCAGCGGCAAUUAACUGCCGUUGAUGUAGUGAAUGAGCAAUUUCAUAAGAAAGAAGGGUAAUAAUGAUACUUUUCACUCAUCCUUCUAAUCUACAAGUUUUUACAUAUUUAUUUAUAGAAGUGUACUUUUAAACAACACAAAAUUUAUGUUUUGGGAUAGAGAUGUUCAUUAUGAUAAGUGCAACACUUCUAUUUGAUUUUUGUCCUGGCAUAAUGGUGAUAUUAAUUAUUACUUUUUUGUCAAAAUCAAUUGGUUAUAUUAAUUAACCAUUAGGGACUUUGGGCGGGGUUAGUUUGUGGUGGACCAGCAAUUCAAACUUUGAUAUUGGCCUGGGUUACCAUUCGUUGUGACUGGAACAAAGAGGUAACUGCAUUUUUAACACAUGUUUUAUUGAUGUCUUUGCAUUCUCAUUUAUUUAUCUUAUUACUAAUUUGAUUGUUAACAAUUUACAGGCCGAAAGAGCAAAGUUGCAUUUGAGUAAAUGGGGAGCACCAAAUCAUGCACAAAAGUGAUACUUUCUGCACAUGCAAAUAAUAUAGGUGGGAUUAUGAAAUUCGUUUUGAUUGGGAAAUCUGAUACAGGGUGCUAAGAGAUGGAGCUAAUUAUUGAAUAAGUUUCCAUGAAAAAGAACUUGGUUUUUGUUCUGAAUUGGUUCAAGUUUGACAACAUUUAAAUAGAACACACCAAUAAUUUUCUAUUAUUACCUUUCUCGAUUCAUUUUCUGCAUACAAUUAAUAACUACCUAUUAUCUAUUAUUAUAUAAUUAAUUAAUAAAUUACUGACUAUUUGAGAAGGACUAAAUCUCGAUAUAAAGGAGAAAAGGACUCAGUUUUUGUUUUGAAUUUUUCUUGGUGGUUCAAUCAAGUUUUACAACAUUUAAAUAGAAUACACCAAUACCUUCCUAAAACCACAUUUCUAAACUCUUCUCUUAACUACAGACAAAUAAUGGAACCGGCUCUUCUAAAGUGAGUUGCUCACUUUAGAGCGUAAAGUGGACAUAACCAACCGUAAAUUAAUAGUUUAAACAUUAAAGUUAGAUAUUGUAGAUAUAUUAUAAUAAAUAAUAAAUUUGCUACAAUAACAAUUCUUAAUUUUCUCACUUUGCACUAUUAUUUU